GACGAACGCGGGCGGCGUGCUUAACACAUGCAAGUCGAACGCUGAAGCUCAGCUUUUCUUGGGUGGAUGAGUGGCGAACGGGUGAGUAACACGUGAGUAACCUGCCCUCUUCUUUGGGAUAACGCCCGGAAACGGGUGCUAAUACUGGAUAUUCACUGAUCUUCGCAUGGGGGUUGGUGGAAAGGUUUGUUCUGGUGGGGGAUGGGCUCGCGGCCUAUCAGCUUGUUGGUGGGGUGAUGGCCUACCAAGGCUUUGACGGGUAGCCGGCCUGAGAGGGUGACCGGUCACAUUGGGACUGAGAUACGGCCCAGACUCCUACGGGAGGCAGCAGUGGGGAAUAUUGCACAAUGGGCGAAGGCCUGAUGCAGCGACGCCGCGUGAGGGAUGGAGGCCUUCGGGUUGUAAACCUCUUUCGCUCAUGGUCAAGCCGCGACUUUGGUUGUGGUGAGGGUAGUGGGUAAAGAAGCGCCGGCUAACUACGUGCCAGCAGCCGCGGUAAUACGUAGGGCGCGAGCGUUGUCCGGAAUUAUUGGGCGUAAAGGGCUUGUAGGCGGUUGGUCGCGUCUGCCGUGAAAUUCUCUGGCUUAACUGGGGGCGUGCGGUGGGUACGGGCUGACUUGAGUGCGGUAGGGGAGACUGGAACUCCUGGUGUAGCGGUGGAAUGCGCAGAUAUCAGGAAGAACACCGGUGGCGAAGGCGGGUCUCUGGGCCGUUACUGACGCUGAGGAGCGAAAGCGUGGGGAGCGAACAGG
Molecule: ribosomal RNA, 752 nt
Filed under: uncultured Actinomyces sp.
Lineage: Bacteria; Bacillati; Actinomycetota; Actinomycetes; Actinomycetales; Actinomycetaceae
Description: bacterial SSU rRNA
Rfam family: Bacterial small subunit ribosomal RNA
Source: RNAcentral